RNAcentral lists this transfer RNA (72 nucleotides) under Fomitiporia mediterranea. Its description in RNAcentral is "tRNA-Met". It matches the Rfam family "tRNA". Rfam says of the family: Transfer RNA (tRNA) molecules are approximately 80 nucleotides in length. Their secondary structure includes four short double-helical elements and three loops (D, anti-codon, and T loops). The record is from RNAcentral. Lineage: Eukaryota; Fungi; Basidiomycota; Agaricomycetes; Hymenochaetales; Hymenochaetaceae.
AGCGAUAUAGUGUAAAGGUUUGCACGUCAGUCUCAUGAACUGAAUGAUCGGGUUCAAGUCCUAAUGUCGCUA